Molecule: RNA transcript, 781 nt
Organism: Antechinus flavipes (yellow-footed antechinus)
Lineage: Eukaryota; Metazoa; Chordata; Mammalia; Dasyuromorphia; Dasyuridae
Gene: C4H1orf53
Gene name: chromosome 4 C1orf53 homolog
Exons: 3
Source: RefSeq, a predicted model, not a curated record
GGAGGUAUCCUCUCAAAAGUAAGGCAGGUGGUCACUUCUAAGUCUCAGGCUCCUUGUUGAUAAAUGGGGUUGGAGGUUUGCACCUGCUAGGUUCCUCCCACUAAGUCUGGGGUGCGGGCUUCCUGGUCCGCGAGAAAGGACGAUUUUAGAGAGGUUUGGAGUCAGGGGAAAGGGAUUCAAACGGUGUCUUUGGGCUCGUGCCUUAACCUCUCCCGGCCUCAGUUUCCUCAACUGUGAAGUGAAAGGGGUGAGGGGUGGAUGGUGCCCUCUAAGGCCCCUUCCGCUCUCAGGCCAGAAAUCUCCCGGGUCCGCGCCCCGCCUCCCGCAGCCCUGCCGUGGCGGCCAUGGUCACGGCCAUGGCGGCGUGGCGGCUCCGGGCGGUGGCAGGGGGCUCCUCACUAGGGAAUCGGCUCCCCCCCGGCUUCACGCUGUGCUCCGCAUCCGGGCCAGAAGGCGGUGGCGGGGGCCGUAGCGGCGGCGGCGGUUCGGCAGCGCGGCCCCCGGAAGGUCCGGAAAGCACCAGGCCCGAGCGGUCCGAGAGCCCGGAGCUCACGACUGAGGAGCUACGGAUCGCCCGGCUGCACACGGCUGCCUGCGCGUGAGCAAGUGAUGACAUUGGUGCAGCAAGAAUACAAAACAUUCCCCAAUACAUCGUUUCACACCUAAUCCAGAAUGUAUUCAAAGCUGGCCAACUAAACUAUGUGGAUCCAAUCACUGGCUAUUUAGUACUCACCAAAGUUGCCCAUUUGCAGAGAGGGAAUUGCUGCGGUUCUGCUUGCAG